This 71-nucleotide transfer RNA is filed under the name Rosa omeiensis. RNAcentral's name for it is "tRNA-Gly". The stretch from base 1 to 57 matches the Rfam family "tRNA", at positions 15 to 71 of the family's 71-position model. Rfam says of the family: Transfer RNA (tRNA) molecules are approximately 80 nucleotides in length. Their secondary structure includes four short double-helical elements and three loops (D, anti-codon, and T loops). Lineage: Eukaryota; Viridiplantae; Streptophyta; Magnoliopsida; Rosales; Rosaceae. The record is from RNAcentral.
AUGGUAAAAUUUCUCUUUGCCAAGGAGAAGAUGCGGGUUCGAUUCCCGCUAUCCGCCCAGGAUAAUGGGUA